Mauremys mutica (yellowpond turtle) is the source of this 1955-nucleotide long non-coding RNA. RefSeq lists it as uncharacterized. Lineage: Eukaryota; Metazoa; Chordata; Testudines; Geoemydidae. The transcript is spliced from 7 exons. The record is from RefSeq and is a predicted model, not a curated record.
ACUGUGAGGAAAGGGAACAGCUGAGGAGCAGAGAGUUGACCCUAAUGACUUAUCCUUUCACCUGUGGUUGUGCACGCUACUAUGUUUGAAGGAGUUACCAGAGUAUUUGGAGCUAUGCUGUAAUCCAGACUGUUCUUGGGGGAUAUCCACCAUUACUGGACCCUAGCAAGCAGCUUCUGCCCAGAUUCUUAAGAGAGCUGGACCCGCUGCUGGCUCCUUCCGGGGUGCAGCAUGGAGCCAGGAAGCCUGCCUUAGCCCUGCUGUGCCACUGACUGGGAGCCACCAGAGAAGCUGUGUUGCCAGAAGAUGAAACUGACUUUUUACCUUGACACAGAGCUCACGGCCUCCGUAACCAGGAAGAUUUGGCUAUGUGGAGACACCAUGCCACCUUGCAAAUAUGUGGAGAGGAUGCAUACAGUGGGAAAAGAGACAUAAGAGAAGGUCACAGUGCUGUGCUUGAGGUUAUGAGAUGGACUCUUUGUUAUUCCAGCAGGAUUAGGCCUAUGCUCAUACGACAGAAAAGGACCACUGAGUGAGUUUCUAGCUCUAAAAAGAGGAUGCCAGAGAGAAGUCUAAAUGAAAACCUGCAAAGCUCUCCCCCCAAAAAGCAGACUUCAGUCUUGUUAGUUGUUUCAUGACAUAGCUCCCUACACAGUGGAACACAUUAAAACAAAAGUCGAGCUAUGGGUCUUUCGUGUCCGGGACCGGUAAGAACCUUCACCUUGCAUGUUAUGCAAAAGGGCACAGAAGCCCAGUGACUCUGUGCUGAAUCAGAGGGAAGAGCAUCACUCCCUGAAUCACCAAUCCCACUUCCCUGAAGCACCUGCCAGUUGCCCAGCCAUGUACUGAAUAAGCAUAGGCCUGGCUUAGCUUGUGAGAAGCACACUUCAAAGUGUGCGAGGCUGCAAAUAGGCAGCGGCGUGAUUUACCUCUACCUCCUGCCAUCUCAUCUCAUCUGGGACAUUUGAAAGGAACCCAUGCAGGAGUCAGCUGUUGCUGUUGGGAAAAGGGGUGCAAAAUCCUCUAAAGAAAUCAGAUGUGAACUGAGCAUGAGGAGCACUACGAACUGCAGGUAGCGACCCCAGUGAUGAACUGGAAGUGAACGCAUUUGCUUGUUAAGUUUACACGGCCACGUUCUGCUCCCUGGAGACUGGAUUUCCCCAGCCCUGCCGAGUGCAUCACAAAUUCUAUGCAAAUCAAGAAACCAGCAAUGGGAGAUCAGAGACAAAAAUCUAUAACCCAUCAUCCAAAGAAUGAGAAGGGUUUGUAGGAUUGAACCUUUGAUUUCUGAAGACUAGCCCUUUAGACAGAGGUCUACACCUGAGACAGCACAGAGCUAGCAGAGGCACGAGUCAUCAGAGGGGACUGAAUCCUAGAACUUCAGCACCAAGCUUUACUCAUUGUGUGAAAGGGCGACUCGGUCAGCAAGUAGCAGUAGUAGGCUCCUGUCCUCUAUGUGGACUAACCAGUAGAGAGAAAUACUGUGCACGGGAUGAGUAUUUGAUACGAUUACAAAGUUGUAAAAAUCACUUUUUAGGGCAUUGUAACUAGAGCUGUGUGAAAUAUUCACAACAAAACCUGAAACGUAACCGUUCUGCCAUAAAUUGGAAACUUGAACUUUGUCAAAAGAUUCAGGAGCCUUGCGCACAAUUUUGGACUCAAAGUUUGGCUAUCUGGAAUGAUUUCUACUUUUGUACUGAAAUCUGGCUCCUGUCUGAAUGUGAGUAUAAAGUGCAUAUGAAAAUAUUGCAGUGGAAGUUUUCAUGUUGGGUGCCAAGGUGCAUCUUUUCUGUAAUGUUUGGAGAAAUGACUAUAUUUUUAAAAAAUCAGAAUCAUGCAAAACUUCAAAUUUCCAUGUUGGAACAUACAAUUUUGGAAAAUCAUCCUUUUCUCAGGAGAUGCCCAUUCCAUCCUCGGGACUAAGCUCUGGAGUUCUCCCUGGAAAUGGGGCCCAG